Molecule: long non-coding RNA, 1015 nt
Organism: Hemicordylus capensis (graceful crag lizard)
Lineage: Eukaryota; Metazoa; Chordata; Lepidosauria; Squamata; Cordylidae
Exons: 3
Source: RefSeq, a predicted model, not a curated record
CUGUGUAUAGAAAGCUAUUUCUAUGGCUUUGUUUGAAGAUCCUUUGGUGACUUUCAGGGUCCACUGGAGAGUGAAGAACAGUUCCAGUAGGUAUUAAGGUGCUUUGGAGAUGGAUUGUGGGGGAGGAAUUUAGCUUCCAAAGGAGGUCAACUGAAAAGUGGUACAUAAAUGCCAGUAAAUAAAAAAAUAAUUUACAGGGUGCAGAUUCCUCCCUACGCAUUUGGAGAGUUUCCCCCAUCAUUUACUGGCGAUGGAGUGGCAGAGUCACCCUCUUUUGAAGCCCAAGGCACACCUGACCUUUUUGAAUAUUGAAAGAAAGAAAGAAAGAAAGAAAGAAAGAAAGAAAGAAAGAAAGAAAGAAAGAAAGAAAGAAAGAAAGAUGGAAAGUCUGCUUUUAAAAACAUAUGUUCUCCAGGAACCAGCAACAGAAGGCAAAUGUGAACAUGCUAAGAAUGACAUACAAAUUGUUACUUUUUCACCUCCCUUCAAAGUUUUUCUUGCUCCAUGUUAAAAAGUGAUUUUCUCUCCCCAAAAAAUAUUUUCUCCCCACCCACCCCCGCCAAGAAGUGUCUUCCCUCUCCCCACAAAAAAUUUGAGGAGUUGCUCUUCAAGCUUUCCCUUCUGUCUGCACCCCUGCAAAAGUGUAUCUACCAGUCAAUUAUAUUUAAAUUUUACAAAAUGGAAUGGAAACAAAACAAAUCUGCCAUUCUGUUCCUAUGUGCGUCAGAGAGCUGUAUCCUAGAGUUGAUUCACGCAGCCUUUUUAAUUCUUUGCUUUCAAACUGGGUUCGUUCUUUCUUGAUAUAUUGUCUGGUGCAUGCGAAGAAGAGGCAAAUUGUGUCUCCCCAGCGAAAGCCAGAAAGACAAGUUCACAUGUGCAUUUGAUCCAAAGGUUCCUGUUAACCAGGGGCACUGCCUAUUAUCUAGUCCAUGUGUUGGCUCUUGAGGAGAAGUGGGGACCCCUUCUUUUAAAAAUGUGCUAGUUUGCAGACCCCUGAAACACAGUUCUUCAUUUA